Molecule: unclassified non-coding RNA, 341 nt
Filed under: Hevea brasiliensis (rubber tree)
Lineage: Eukaryota; Viridiplantae; Streptophyta; Magnoliopsida; Malpighiales; Euphorbiaceae
Source: RNAcentral
GAUUUAAUUUACUAAAUAUGUACAACUGCAUUACUCAUGAACGAUUAAACACCUGAUGAAACAAAUUCCAACCAUAAUUGUAAUGCCCUUUCAGUAGGACUGGAUGUUUUUCAUCUACCCCAAUUNNNNNNACCAACCCAAAUAACCCCCUCCCCUCAAUUUGACGUAUCACUUCAUAUUUUAGUAAAUUAAAUCUGCAAAUGCGUAAUUUUCUACAAUUUAUAAAAUGUUUGUCAUUUCUAGAUCAACUCCAGAAACAAGGCCUCUUGUUUGCUGGUCAGGCCAAGUUCAUUCAGUGUCAGUGCACUUUCUCCAUCACUGAAAGCACGCCUUGGGUAUGG